Molecule: long non-coding RNA, 447 nt
Filed under: Panax ginseng (ginseng)
Lineage: Eukaryota; Viridiplantae; Streptophyta; Magnoliopsida; Apiales; Araliaceae
Description: long non-coding RNA (PGIN_LNC000920)
Source: RNAcentral
UUCAACCGCCUAAGUUCUCUCUCUCUCCAAACCUUUUCCAACCCUAACAUUUCUAAGCCAAAAUUUGUGCUUUCCAGUAUGUUUUUAAGAAAAAUAAUCCGAUCAAUCGAUUCCUUAUCAUCCAAAUCAUCUUUUCACCGAUAAAUUUCUUCAAAAAUGGUUUAUGAAAUCUUUUCUUUGAAUAUUUUUUUGGAUCUGUCGAAUAAUUUUGUUAUUUUGCAAUAUUCUAAGUUAUCAGCUCCAGUCUUGUUCCAAGAUUUUUAAACUCAUCAAACAAUUUAUUAUCGGCUAAAUUAUCUUUUAAUUUCUUUUCUGUAAAUGAUUUAUUCUUAUAAUUGGUUCUUCAAUCUCAAAGUUAAUCUUUUUUGUUGAAUCGAUUGAAAACGUUCACAAUCUAAGGCUUAAAUUUUUUAACCGUUCCAAUUUCUUCAAAUCAAUUCUCUUUUA